CCGUAUUUAGUAGUACAAGUGUUGCUUUGCGUUGUGCGGCGUAGCGGACACGGAAGAGGCGGGAAAGUAGGUUCGUGUAUAUAUAGUUGAUCCCAGUUCAUCCCUCGCCAUACCUGACCGCUCCCCCACCACACUACCACCACAGUACCACAUCGCCACGAGAGGGUAAAGGUCUCAGCCACCAACCAUGCGGCACCUCGUGUUUCUGAUCUUGUUGUGUGUGUGUGUUGCCCUCGCCGCCGCCCGUCCUUCGCCCCAAAUAAUUGUCGUUCUUCCGAGUGCAAUACCAAUACCCAACAUCAGCGAACUCAUUAGAAUGCUCAAGCUAACGGCCACGACAGAGGCGCCCUAAGGAGUGUUGGCCUGAGAAGUGACACGAAGCGAAAUAGAUCACAAGAAAAUGAUAAUAUAAUCAACGUGGCUUGGCUGGUCUACGUGUUUUGAACUGUUGAUACUUAUUACCUCAAGCUUUAUCUCUUUGUUAUUUGCAGAGGAAGGAAAAAAAAAAAAAACGUUCUCGUAUUCUGAAACGUUUGAUUCUUCCCUUAGGUUUAUUUCAAAGGUCGUAGAGUCAUAUAUAGUCAAUGUGGCUUGGCUGUUCUACGUGUUAUGUGUUGUUGAUGCUAAUUACCUCAAGCUUUACUUCUCUGUUAUUUUCUACUGUUUUUACGAAUCAAAAUAUGACAACUUGAUGUA
Molecule: long non-coding RNA, 696 nt
Organism: Portunus trituberculatus (swimming crab)
Lineage: Eukaryota; Metazoa; Arthropoda; Malacostraca; Decapoda; Portunidae
Exons: 2
Source: RefSeq, a predicted model, not a curated record